Molecule: long non-coding RNA, 900 nt
Organism: Neopsephotus bourkii (Bourke's parrot)
Lineage: Eukaryota; Metazoa; Chordata; Aves; Psittaciformes; Psittacidae
Exons: 4
Source: RefSeq, a predicted model, not a curated record
CUGACUUCUGUCUUUGUCCUCACGGUCACGUUGGGUGAGGAAUACGAAUCUCCUGGUAUCAUCCCAGAUGUGAGACGAUGAAUGACAUCCUAGUACCACCAACUCAAGCAAAGCAGAGUGCUGAGUGGGUAAGAAGAGGGAAAAAGAUUCUCCAGAACUUGGAGCAGGACAUGAGAAAGCUUUAAGUGGAAAUGUAACCCUCUAAUGCAAUGAGAUGCCUGUAUUGCAUGAAGAGCCAUUAUCCACCAAAGACAUCCUUGCCUGGAGUUUUGCAUGUAGAUCCUGUCAGUUGGCCACACUCUUUACCUGAACCAGCGGACACCGCUGCAAAGACCUGCAUGGAAGCUUAGAAAAGAAACUGCAGAACUGAAAGCACUAAGAUACAGCUCUCGUAAUACUGAAGAAACAGCUCCUCCUGAAGGCAAAAAUCGGGACCUGUGUCUCUUUCAGUUACAUGAACUUCGCACGGUUUUGCAUUGCAUAUAAGAAAAUAUACUGAGCCGUAAGCCCAGAAAAAGGAAUAUGUAAUCCAAGGAGUGCAGUCACAGAAAACCAAACCAAAGUGUAAACAAGCUUCAUUUACAGAUGUGGAGGAGCUCCACAAAAUACAAAGGGAGUUCACAUAAAUACCCAGUAUGGUAGGAUUCUCAGUAUUAGGAGUGGGUUUAAUUGAUGAUUUUCCCAACAUUUUCCAAUGUUAUAUGUGCAAAUAUAUGUGCUGUGCACACACAGACACACCUACAUAAUCUCGAACAUUUUCUAUUGGUGAAAUGUGGGGAUUAGCCAGUUUUCUGUGAACCCCGCUGUUCACACUGACAAUAUAAAUCAUUAUAUUCAUUUAUCUUGGAGUUAAUUAUUGCAAAAUAUCUCUAAAAGACUCUGCCAUUUGAAACCCUUGUA